GGUGAUAGUUGCUGUGGGCGUGGCCUGGCGUGAGGGGAGGCGCUUAAAGGCUCGGAGGCGCUGCCGAAGACGUUUGAAUUGAGGGGAGAGAAGCGUCCAAACCUCAACGAGAAAACCUCAAAGGUUAAAAAAUAACGAAUUUGAAAGUUUUUAACCCCCCAAAAACGAGGUUGGGGAGGGUUUUUAGGGGUCCCCCGUGGUUCUGGGGGUGGCGGGGGUGGCCCUGCGGGGUCCCUCGCGGCAUUUUUGGCAAUAAAAGACGUCGGGGACGUUGUUUUUCUUCACCUUGGCACAGGAAAGGUGAAUCCAGGUGCCACAUUGGCUACACUCGAUCAUGGGCCGACCAGCAAAAGGUUUUUGGCAGUAGCAGGUGAUUAAAUCCCAAGAAUCGUCGCCUAAAAAUAUUAAAAAGUGAAUUAAAAUGUUAUAAAAGUUAUCAGGGGAUGGGAAAAAUAAUGGAAAAGGGGAAAAUAAAGAGGUGAAGUGAAA
Long non-coding RNA from Parus major (Great Tit), 489 nucleotides. RefSeq lists it as uncharacterized. NCBI's taxonomy places the organism in Eukaryota, Metazoa, Chordata, Aves, Passeriformes, Paridae. The transcript is spliced from 2 exons. The record is from RefSeq and is a predicted model, not a curated record.